RNAcentral lists this RNase P RNA (409 nucleotides) under Albidovulum denitrificans. RNAcentral's name for it is "Defluviimonas denitrificans Bacterial RNase P class A". It matches the Rfam family "Bacterial RNase P class A". Rfam says of the family: Ribonuclease P (RNase P) is a ubiquitous endoribonuclease, found in archaea, bacteria and eukarya as well as chloroplasts and mitochondria. Lineage: Bacteria; Pseudomonadati; Pseudomonadota; Alphaproteobacteria; Rhodobacterales; Paracoccaceae. The record is from Rfam by way of RNAcentral.
GCGGAUGGCCGGAUGACCGCGGGUCCUUCGGGGCGCGAGGAAAGUCCGGACUCCAUGAAGCUGCGGUGCCGGGUAACGCCCGGCCGGGGAAACCCGAGGGAAAGCGCCACAGAGAAGAGACUACCCCGGCCUGUCCGGGGAAAAGGUGAAACGGUGGGGUAAGAGCCCACCGCGGGACUGGCAACAGGACCGGCACGGCAAGCCCCACCGGGAGCAAUGCCAAAUAGGGACCUCGCGCGGGGGCCGGUCUGCGCGCAAGCGCAGAGACCGCCCGCAGGGACGCUUCAGCCCGAGAGGUCCGGGUUGGCAGCUUGAUCCCGCCGGUAACGGCGGGGCGAGAGGAAUGGUCAUCGAACCCCGGAUCAAGGUCCGGGGGGAACAGAAUCCGGCUUACAGGCCGUCCGCGCAU